RNAcentral lists this ribosomal RNA (271 nucleotides) under uncultured bacterium. Its description in RNAcentral is "partial 16S ribosomal RNA". It matches the Rfam family "Bacterial small subunit ribosomal RNA", at positions 84 to 353 of the family's 1533-position model. The record is from RNAcentral.
UUGUAAAGUUAGUGGCGGACGGGUGAGUAACGCGUGAAUAACCUGCCCUGUACCGGGGGACAACAGUUGGAAACGACUGCUAAUACCGCAUAAGCGCACGGUUCCGCAUGGAACAGUGUGAAAAACUCCGGUGGUACAGGAUGGAUUCGCGUCUGAUUAGCCAGUUGGUGGGGUAACGGCCUACCAAAGCAACGAUCAGUAGCCGGCCUGAGAGGGUGAACGGCCACAUUGGGACUGAGACACGGCCCAAACUCCUACGGGAGGCAGCAUG